This 945-nucleotide small RNA is filed under the name Pongo abelii (Sumatran orangutan). RNAcentral's name for it is "processed transcript". Lineage: Eukaryota; Metazoa; Chordata; Mammalia; Primates; Hominidae. The record is from RNAcentral.
AAACUUCUCCACCAUCCCCCAGUACUUCAAGGAGAAUGGCUAUGUGACCAUGUCGGUGGGAAAAGUCUUUCACCCUGGGAUAUCUUCUAACCAUACUGAUGAUUCUCCAUAUAGCUGGUCUUUUCCACCUUAUCAUCCUUCCUCUGAGAAGUAUGAAAACACUAAGAUGGAGCUUCACUCUUGUCACCCAGGCUGGAGUGCAAUGGCGCAAUCUCAGCUCACUGCAGCCUCCACCUCCCAGGUUCAAGUGAUGAUUCUCCUGCCUCAGCCUGCUGAGUAGCUGGGAUUACAGACAUGUCGAGGGCCGGAUGGAGAACUCCAUGCCAACCUGCUUUGCCCUGUGGAUGUGCUGGAUGUUCCCGAGGGCACCUUGCCUGACAAACAGAGCACUGAGCAAGCCAUACAGUUGUUGGAAAAGAUGAAAACGUCAGCCAGUCCUUUCUUCCUGGCCGUUGGGUAUCAUAAGCCACACAUCCCCUUCAGAUACCCCAAGGAAUUUCAGAAGUUAUAUCCCUUGGAGAACAUCACCCUGGCCCCCGAUCCUGAGGUCCCUGAUGGCCUACCCCCUGUGGCCUACAACCCCUGGAUGGACAUCAGGCAACGGGAAGACGUCCAAGCCUUAAACAUCAGUGUGCCGUAUGGCCCAAUUCCUGUGGACUUUCAGCAGAAAAUCCGCCAGAGCUACUUUGCCUCCGUGUCAUAUUUGGAUACACAGGUCGGCCGCCUCUUGAGCACUUUGGACGAUCUUCAGCUGGCCAACAGCACCAUCAUUGCAUUUACCUCGGAUCAUGGUUUCCUCAUGAGGACAAAUACCUGAUUUUGAAUAAAGCAGCAUUCAGUUGAAAUAACCCUUUCUGUGGUAAUUCCAAGUGAAUAUUUUUCUUCUAGGUGAUGAGUUUCUGCUUCCUCUGGUUUUUACAACAGGAAAUGAAAUGGUAUCUAAAA